AAGUCGAUGAAGAAGAGGCAGAAAGGAUGAUUAAAGUGGCUCUCUUGUGCACAAAUGCAUCCCAAUCACUUAGGCCUACCAUGUCUGAAGUGGUAAGCAUGCUUGAAGCCCGAAUGCCUAUUCCUGAUAUGAUCCCAGGACCAAGUACCUACACUGAAGAUUUGAGGUUUAAGGCAAUGAGAGACUUUCGUCAAGACUAGAGAAACCAGAGUCUAUGAGUGAAGGUCGUCAAUCCCUAAAUUUAACAGGUCAUACAGCGCUAGAGCUUUGCUCUACCUCUACAUCUGGCCCUGAUUUCUUUGAAAUCAACCCACAUUCGGAAUCCUGUUAAUAAUGAAGUGUUUUUCUUUUAAAGAAUGCUGAUCCUACUCCUGAAGGCUCUGAAUGGAUUUGCUGAUCUGCAUCUCCAUCUCAAUGAGCAUCCUAAAGUUUUGGCUAUUUAAUCAAACUUCUAUUCAAUGGGGCUACACCCGCAUCUUGUACAUCAAUUUUUUAUUUAUUUUUAUUUGAUCUGUAGUUCUCUUUAAAAGUGAGAGUUUGUUGUAUAAAAUUUCAAGAAAUUUUGUAGUAGAAUUAGAUUUUCAUAUUUUAAUAAAUGUGCUCCUGGCAAAAGAUUAAGGGAGAAUUGGGCUUUAGACCCAUUUGACUUUGAUAAUUAAUAAAGAGUCUUUCAAACACCCAUAAUUGAUUAUAAGGAUAUGAGAUGGGAAUAGACCAAAAUGUUCAUUUGACUUAUUUUUGUCUUUAUUUUACCACCCUUCACAUGUCACUAUUCUUUGUUAUUUAACCAUUUUUUGAUUUUUCAUUAUUUUUUUAAACUCUUUUAUAAAUAAUUGAAAAAUCAACAUUGUUUUUUUUAUUUUUAAAUUAUAAAUAAAAAAAAUUAUAUUAAUGAUUCAAAGACUAUUUUGGAAAAUACUUUCUAAAAAAAUAUUAAUUUAAAUAAAUAAAAAUUAUAUUUUAUAUUUAUUUUUUAUCUUUUAUAUUUUAGAAGUAAAUAAUUUAAUGAUUAAAAUACUAUUUAAAAUAAAUAUAUUCACUGUUUUAAUUUUGUUUAUAUUAAAAAGUAUUUUAAAGUUUUUUUUACUAUUAUAAAAUAAAAGGUUUAAUUUUUUUUAAUCUUUUUUUUCCUUAUUUUAAUAACUUUUUGAACAUGACUUUUAGUAAUAAGUUAUAUAAAAUGUUACAAAUUUGUUUAUUAUGAAUUUUUUUAAUGAUUUGAAUUAAUUAAAAAUUUAUUAAAAAAAAAAAAAAGAGGAUGGAUGGAAUGUUUUUAUUUUAAGUACUCAAUUAAAAUGUUUUCAUAUGACCUAACUUUAGAAGUAAAUUAUAUUAGAGAUUGAAUUUUUUUAUAUAAAAGGAUUGAAAGGUAUAUUUAUUUAUUUUAGAUGAAAACAAAUAGUUAAAAAUUAUAUAGAUUAUAUUUGAGUUUGGUUUUAAAAUAUUUUUCUAGUUUUUAUUUUUUAUUUUUAAAAAUAAUUUUUAUUUUCUAUAUAGUCUUUUUUUUUAAAAUAUUUUUAAUUAAAAAAUGAAAACUAUUUUUUAAAAUGAAAAUUGAAAACCUUGUUUAGUACUAUUUUUUAUAUGAAAAUAAAAAAAUAAUAAAUUUUAUUUAUUCAUUUAUCGCAUCAUUGUACAAUUGUAUUACACUAACUGUACAAGGGAAAUAUACUAAGUGUACAAAUGAGUACAAAGCUACCCUUUGUGAAAUAUAUAAUCGAUUAUAAGUUAUUCCUUUUUUUUUUUUUUAUCACUCAUGAAUUGUACACAUAUGUCAUUCACUUUAUUUAAUUCCUGCAUAGAAAUUCCAAUAUUUUUCCUAAUAAUAAUAUUUGGAGAAAAUUUUUUUUGACCUUAAAUCAUCUACCAUCUUCUCAACUAAAUUAUUGGAAAUAUGAUUAAACACUCCUACGUGAACACCUAACUUAGGAGGGAUAUAAAAUUUGUGUCAUUAUACAAGAGUAUUACACUAACUGUACAAGGGAAAUGCAUUAAUUAUACAAAGGUGUAUAAAAUUACCCUUUGUAAAUGAUUUUAAUUGAUUAUAAACUACUUUUUUAUUUUCCUUGUCACCCAAUGAUUGUACACCUAUAUCAUGCACUUUAUUUAACUCUUACAUGAAAAUUCCAAUAUUUUUCCCAAUAAUGAUAUUUGGGGAAAAAAAUUGACCCUAAGUCAUCCAUCAUUUUCUCAACCAAAUCAUUGAAAAUAUGAUUAAUACACCUACAUGGACAUAUAAAUUAGGAGAUAUAUGAAAUUUGUGUCAUUGUUCAAGGGUAUCACACUAACUGUACAAGAAUAUUAUACUAAUUGUACAAGGGAAAUGUGCUAAGUGUACAAAGGUGUACAAGACUUAUAAUAGGUUUUGUAUGAUUUUUAAAUAAUUUGAAUUUGACAUUAAGACGAUUAUUGAUAGUUUUGUUUUUCUUUUUUUUACCAAACUAUGUCAUUAUGACAUUCUCUACAAAAAUUAACAUAUAGGAAAUAAAAUUAAAAUCAAUUAUGUUUGAAUUGUUCAUUAUAAGUAAACUAAAUGAAAUAUAUAUUUUUACUAUUUUACCUUUAUAAAUAUAAUUUCAUUGUUAUCAAUAGAGAUUAAAAAAAUCAUAUUUAAAUGGCAUUAAAAAUAAACAAAAAUUAUUUUUAUAACAUUUUUAUUUUUAAAAAUCAUUAAUUUAAAUUAUGAAAUUAGUUUUAAAGUUAAAAAUAUUUGUUGUAAUUAUAGUUUUGAAGAUUUCAUGAUUUUUAUCUUACUACUUGAAAAACUUGCCUUAAUAAGAAAAUAUUUAUUUUAAUGGUUUUAAAUAUUUAAAUCUUUAUUGAAAAAUAUUUAGGAUUAGUGUGGAGAGCAAUUAGGUAAUUUUGGAAUUGAGAAAUUUUGAAUAUUUUGAAGACCUUAAUUCGGCCAAUUACCUUAUGUACACUUUCAAAAUUAUUGGAAGGUUGGUGAAUUAGUCUUAGAAAUAUUGUUUUCUUAAUUAUAUAUAUGCAUGUAAGUGUUUACAUUAUUUAUGAAAAAAUAAUAAACAAUGUUUAAUUUGCAAGUUAGAAAAGAAAAUUAAUAAUAUUUUAUGAGGUAUUUAAAAAGUAUUUAUUAUAUGUUCUAUAAAUUUGAAAAAAAUAUAAUAUUUGAUGAUAUCUAAUUUACAGAACAAACAAAUAAUGUUAAUAUUUUAUGAGGUGUUUAAAAAUUAUUUAAUAUAUAUGAGAAAUAAUAUAAGUUUGAAAACAAAAAUAAUAUUUAUUAUAUAUUAAGUAAGUUUUCAAUAUAUUUAAAAAAUAUUUAUUAUAUGUUAUGUAAGUUUGAAAAAAAGAAUAAUAUUUGAUGAGACAUUUAAAAGUUAUUCACUUCAAAAAUACAUUUGGUAAUAAUAAUUUUUAAUCAUCUUUUAUAUUUGAUGAAGAAAAAUGAUUCAAGUUGGUUCCACUAUUAAAUAGGUAAGAGAAGGGCAAAAGAGUCAAAGAGAGAAUGAGAAAGGUGAGGUGAUUUGUUAGUUUUUUCAUUUAAUGGUUAAGGGUAUUUUAGGGAUUUUUAAAAGACAAUACCCUUACUCUCAAUUUCUAUUCUUUCAUUGGGUUGGACUUAAAUAUGGAACAUAUAUGGAUCAUAGCUUAAUUUUUGGGCCCAGUUGGGCCCAAAACAUAAUUUUCCCAAAGAUUAAUGUAAAUAUGUAAUGCAGAAACUGGCAAAAGAUCUGGUAGCUGUUUAGUGAAGUAACCCACUUUUCUCAUGCGAAGAAAAUCACAUAUUUAACAGCAUUCUAUGGAGUGAAAUUCCAGCAAACAUAUUCAAUGUCACGAAUUUAACCUCACAAGGGUUGGAGUUCAAUUUUGAUUCAGAUUGAAGUCCAUUCUGGCCUUAUAAGGAUACAUUAUGUAGCCUAUACAAAUUAGAAUCAAAAUCUAAAGAAAUUGCCUUAUCACAUGGGAUCAAGAUUUUUUCUUAAUAAAAAAAGAUGAACCAUUAUUAAUUUUAAGAAAUAGUGUUAGUGAAAUCAACAUAUUAGGAAAGAUAUGUUUGUUUCUUAGAAAGGAAAAAAAAAAAAAAUUAAGACCAUGAAAAAAUGUGAAGAAAAAAAAAAUUUUAAGGAAUAUAAGAGGAAAAAAAAAUUCUUAUCAUUUUCUUUUCUUAUAUUUUUCCUUUCUAUUUACUUUACUUCAAAUUUUCCAACCGAACAUUCUUAAAUUACCUUCACGAAAUUUUACAAUUUUAAAAGGAAUUUUUUUUUUUUUAAAAAAAAGAAUUUCUAUUUUAAAAAUAAAAAAUAAAAAGUGUAUCCCUAUCUAUGAACCUUAAACAAAUGAAUCAUAGGAAAGAUAUUACUUCUGAGUAGUGAGAUUUUUGUGAAAUGGAAGCUACAUGCAGUACUAGAAAUGGACAUCUGAGGGUGCGCAUCUUGAAGAGUUAAGGCCCAAGCGGGUUCCUCAGAGGCUUUGGAUCACAACCCCAUAUCCACUGGGCCCAAGCCCCAUUACAUAUUCUGACUAGGCAUGGUUCAAGGGUCAAACACAACCUGUAUAUUUAUAAGAUCACUAUCAUUUAGACUAGAAUACAUGCAAGGAAAGAUAGAAAAUGAUCGAGAUUGAGAUUUCCUAAGAUUGGAGAGAUUUCUUAAGAUUAUUAAGAAUUUCAUAUGGUAGAAUUUCAACAAUGCCCCUAACAAAAAAUGCAAAUAUAUUUCGCAUAUCAAACUAGUCCAAAAAUUGAUGGAAUACUAAGGACCUGUUUUCAAAAACUAUUUUUUGUUCUUGUAAACAAAAAAUACAAAAAAACUUAUUUUGGGAAAGGAGUGUGUUUUUGUUUUUUAUGUUUUCUGUGUUCUCAAAAACCACUUUUUUUUAUAACAAUAAAAAAAUGUUUUCAUUAUUUUUUUGCUAUUCAAAUAAUAGAUUGUUUUUCAUAUUUUUUCUUCUUUAUUUUUGUGUUUUCUUAUCUGUUUUUUAUGUUUCCACAAAGGUGAGUUUUAUCCAACCACCACACCCUUACUUGCAAACCUUUUUUUCUUCUUUAAAUUAUUGAAAUUAAUAUACUUACACAUGGUGACAAAGUCAUCAUUUUUUUAAGAAAAUUAUAACUAAUGUAAAAAUUUGAAAAUUGAAUAAUUUAAAUGAAUUGUGUAUAUGAAAAUUAUUUAUAUAUUUAUAAUAUCAAGUUAAUGGAAGAAAACACUUUAUUAAUUAAAAAAAUAACUUUCAAACAUAUUUUUUGUUUUACUUAUUCUAAAAAACCUUUUUAUUAACCCAACCAAACAUGUUUUUUUUUAGAACAAAAACUGUUUUCCAGAAUUCAGUUCCCAAACAUAAAUUUUUAUUUUUUAAAAAAAAACACAAAAAACUGCUCUUUAAAAUUGUUCUCAAAAAUGAUUUUCUAUAACAGUUUUCAAAAACAACAUCUAAAUAUACCCUAAGCUUGUCCAAAAAAUGCAAAUAUAUAUUUUUUUUUUAUAGAUAAAAUGAAUAUUAAAAAUCUUCUUAGUCAUGUGCAUUGUGGGUAGAAUUUGGUGUCAGCAACGUAUUUGGUUUUGAGAACAAUUAAGGAACAAGAGGAAAAGAAAAUAGGAAGAAAAUGUAAAACAGAAAAAAAAAAUUAAAUUCAAUAAUUUUUUUAUAUAAUACUUCAAACUUAUUUAAGUUGUUUUAAAUUUUUAUAUAAAAAUUGAAUAAUUCUUAUAAUAAUUUUUAUUUAACUUAUUUAACAUAGGUUUCUUAGUGAUUUUAAUAAUAUUUGAUUUUUUUUUUAUAUUUUUCAUUAAAAAAUCAUUUUAUUUAUUUCCUUUCCUUCAAAUUUGAUAAGAAACAAGUUAAUGUAUAUUAUUAUUUAUAGAAAGACAAAAAAUUAGAAAAUACAUCAUCAUGAUGUCCUCCUUCUAGAUCUUUCUAGAUCCAAACAAACAGAAAAGUUAUCCAUAAGAAAGAAAUCAAAUCUUCAUCUAGUUAUCCUGAAUUUUCGGUCAAAGUCCUGAAGGAAGAAAUCAAAUCAUCAUCAUCUAGUUUUGGGAUUGUGGCUUUGGAAAUUGUUAGUGGAAAACACAACAACAAUUAUAUACCCAGCAAUGACUGCCUUUGUCUUUUAGAUUGGGUACUCACUAACUUUCUAUAUAUCGGUGUUAAUAAUCAAUCAGGUUGUGUUUUUCAGUUGAAAGGAUAUAAUGAGCAUCUGCAUGAUGGAAGUUAAGAUUGGUGAUAUGUUUAAAUUGCAGGCCUGUCUGUUGCAGCAAGGCAGAAAGUUUCUGGAGCUGGUUGAUGAGAAGUUGGGGUCUAANNNNNNNNNNNNNNNNNNNNNNNNNNNNNNNNNNNNNNNNNNNNNNNNNNNNNNNNNNNNNNNNNNNNNNNNNNNNNNNNNNNNNNNNNNNNNNNNNNNNCAGAAAGUUUCUGGAGCUGUUGAUGAGAAGUUGGGGUCUAACGUCAAUGAAGAAGAGGCAGAAAGGGUGAUAAAGUGGCUCUCUUGUGCACAAAUGCAUCCCAAUCACUUAGGCCUACCAUGUCUGAAGUGUUAAGCAUGCUUGAAGCCCGAAUGCCUAUUCCUGAUAUGAUCCCAGGACCAAGUACCUACACCGAAGAUUUGAGGUUUAAGGCAAUGAGAGACUUUCGUCAAGACUAGAGAAACCAGAGUCUGAGUGAAGGUCGUCAAUCCCUAAAUUUAACAGGUCAUACAGAGCUAGAGCCUUAUAAGGA
Molecule: long non-coding RNA, 6675 nt
Filed under: Vitis vinifera (wine grape)
Lineage: Eukaryota; Viridiplantae; Streptophyta; Magnoliopsida; Vitales; Vitaceae
Description: long non-coding RNA (VVIN_LNC003130)
Source: RNAcentral